GUGCUCACAUCAGCAGUGCACAUAUUAACAUAGGAAAGAUACAGAGAAAAUUAGCAUGGCAUUGUAUAGAGGUGAAUUGCACAUUUGCAAAGCAUGUCAUAUUUUU
Ochotona princeps (American pika) is the source of this 106-nucleotide small nuclear RNA. NCBI's taxonomy places the organism in Eukaryota, Metazoa, Chordata, Mammalia, Lagomorpha, Ochotonidae. The record is from RefSeq and is a predicted model, not a curated record.